GGAUAACCGUGGUAAUUCUAUGGCUAAUACAUGCGCAAAUAUCCUUUUUCGCAAGAAAGAGGAUAGUGUUUAUUAGAUACAGAACCAAUACACCAUCUGUUUAUCAGGUGGUGUAAAAAAGGUGAUUCAUAGUAACCGAACGGAUCGCAUUAUGGUCAUUUUAUAUGGCUGGCGAUAGAUCAUUCAAGUUUCUGACCUAUCAGCUUUCGACGGUAGUGUAUUGGACUACCGUGGCAGUGACGGGUAACGGGGAAUUAGGGUUCGAUUCCGGAGAGGGAGCCUGAGAAACGGCUACCACAUCUAAGGAAGGCAGCAGGCGCGCAAAUUACCCAAUCCUGUCUCAGGGAGGUAGUGACAAGAAAUAACAACACUGGAAAUUUUAUUUCUAGUGAUUGGAAUGAUGGGAAUUUAUACCCCUUUCAGAGUAACAAUUGGAGGGCAAGUCUGGUGCCAGCAGCCGCGGUAAUUCCAGCUCCAAUAGCGUAUAUUAAAGUUGUUGCAGUUAAAAAGCUCGUAGUUGGAUGUCUGCUGGAAGCAAUCAGUCCGCCCUAUUUGUAGGGUGUGCACUUGAUGAAUUCUGGCAUCUAUGUCCCAAUAAUGUGGUGGUGUAUACCCUGUGUAUUACCCAUCUAUAUUGGGAUAAUACCGUUACUUUGAGAAAAUUAGAGUGUUUGAAGCAGGCUAAUUGCCUUGAAUACUGCAGCAUGGAAUAACAAUAUAGGAUUUCGGUUCUAUUUUGUUGGUUUCUAGGACUGAAAUAAUGAUUAAUAGGGACAGUUGGGGGCAUUCGUAUUUAACUGUCAGAGGUGAAAUUCUUAGAUUUGUUAAAGACGAACUACUGCGAAAGCAUUUGCC
This 855-nucleotide ribosomal RNA is filed under the name Sarcocystis levinei. RNAcentral describes it as "SSU rRNA". It matches the Rfam family "Eukaryotic small subunit ribosomal RNA", at positions 141 to 959 of the family's 1831-position model. Lineage: Eukaryota; Apicomplexa; Conoidasida; Eucoccidiorida; Sarcocystidae. The record is from RNAcentral.